GUAAUGCCUAGGAAUCUGCCUAGUAGUGGGGGAUAACUUGCCGAAAGGUAAGCUAAUACCGCAUACGUCCUACGGGAGAAAGGAGGGGACUCUUCGGAGCCUUUCGCUAUUAGAUGAGCCUAGGUCGGAUUAGUUAGUUGGUGAGGUAAUGGCUCACCAAGACCGCGAUCCGUAACUGGUCUGAGAGGAUGAUCAGUCACACUGGAACUGAGACACGGUCCAGACUCCUACGGGAGGCAGCAGUGGGGAAUAUUGGACAAUGGGGGAAACCCUGAUCCAGCCAUGCCGCGUGUGUGAAGAAGGUCUUAGGAUUGUAAAGCACUUUAAGUUGGGAGGAAGAGCAGUUAACUAAUAUUUGACUGUUUUGACGUUACCGACAGAAUAAGCACCGGCUAACUUCGUGCCAGCAGCCGCGGUAAUACGAAGGGUGCAAGCGUUAAUCGGAAUUACUGGGCGUAAAGCGCGCGUAGGUGGUUCGUUAAGUUAGGAGUGAAAGCCCCGGGCUCAACCUGGGAAUUGCUUCUAAAACUGGCGAGCUAGAGUAUGGUAGAGGGUGGUGGAAUUUCCUGUGUAGCGGUGAAAUGCGUAGAUAUAGGAGGGAACAUCAGUGGCGAAGGCGACCACCUGGACUAAUACUGACACUGAGGUGCGAAAGCGUGGGGAGCAAACAGGAUUACAUACCCUGGUAGUCCACGCCGUAAACGAUGUCAACUAGUUGUUGGGUUCCUUGAGGACUUAGUAACGCAACUCACGCAUUAAGUUGACCGCCUGGGGAGUACGGCCGCAAGGUUAAAACUCAAAUGAAUUGACGGGGGCCCGCACAAGCGGUGGAACAUGUGGUUUA
RNAcentral lists this ribosomal RNA (844 nucleotides) under Denitrificimonas caeni. Its description in RNAcentral is "bacterial SSU rRNA". It matches the Rfam family "Bacterial small subunit ribosomal RNA", at positions 110 to 948 of the family's 1533-position model. The record is from RNAcentral. Lineage: Bacteria; Pseudomonadati; Pseudomonadota; Gammaproteobacteria; Pseudomonadales; Pseudomonadaceae.